GACGAACGCUGGCGGCGUGCUUAACACAUGCAAGUCGAACGGAAAGGCUCUACCUUGCUGGUGUACUCGAGUGGCGAACGGGUGAGUAACACGUGGGUAAUCUGCCCUGCACUCUGGGAUAAGCUUAGGAAACUGGGUCUAAUACUGGAUAUGACCUUUCUCCUUAUGGGGUUUGGUGGAAAGUUUUUCGGUGUAGGAUGAGCCCGCGGCCUAUCAGCUUGUUGGUGGGGUGAUGGCCUACCAAGGCGACGACGGGUAGCCGGCCUGAGAGGGUGAUCGGCCACAUUGGGACUGAGAUACGGCCCAGACUCCUACGGGAGGCAGCAGUGGGGAAUAUUGCACAAUGGGCGGAAGCCUGAUGCAGCGACGCCGCGUGAGGGAUGACGGCCUUCGGGUUGUAAACCGCUUUCAGCAGGGACGAAGCGUAAGUGACGGUACCGGCAGAAGAAGCACCGGCUAACUAUGUG
Molecule: ribosomal RNA, 467 nt
Filed under: uncultured bacterium
Lineage: Bacteria
Description: partial 16S ribosomal RNA
Rfam family: Bacterial small subunit ribosomal RNA
Source: RNAcentral